UUUCUUGUUGUACUCUUCAUUUUGAAGAGAGACCAGUGUUGACAUUUAAUCAAGUUUUAAUUUUCUAAGCUCACUAUAAGAUAGCUCACCAAGGCCCAAAUACUGUCCGCCUAGCCAUGCAUGGGCUCCGCUCAGCCCACGUCGUUUAAGAAUUCAAGUCUUUGUUUAUUUUGAAUUUUUUAAAGAUGGGACCUCUUAACCCGCUAGGGCCCAUUACGACUUGACCGCCUAGCCAUGCAUGGGCUCCGCUUAGCCCACAUCGUCUGUAAAGUCCGUUUUUGUUUUUUUGUUUUUUUAAAGGUGGGACCUCCUAGACUACGAAGGUCCAUUACGACUUGACCGCCUAGCCAUGCAUGGGCUCCACCUAGCCCACGUAUUUUAACAAGUGGUAAAUUUGAUUUACUAUUAUGUAUUUUACUCAGGGGUAAUAUUGUCAGUAUAUUCGAGCUAUCUAUGACACACUGCU
This 466-nucleotide long non-coding RNA is filed under the name Fragaria vesca (wild strawberry). Its description in RNAcentral is "long non-coding RNA (FVES_LNC002050)". Lineage: Eukaryota; Viridiplantae; Streptophyta; Magnoliopsida; Rosales; Rosaceae. The record is from RNAcentral.